CAAUAGCGUAUAUUUAAGUUGUUGCAGUUAAAAAGCUCGUAGUUGGAUUUCGGGUGGGACGCAGCGGUCUCGCAUUGCGUUUGUACUGCUGCAGCCCUCCUUCUUGCCGGGGGCGGCCUCUCGGACUUCACUGUCUGGGGGUCAGAAUCGGCGAUGUUACUUUGAGUAAAUUAGAGUGUUCAAAGCAAGCUUACGCUCUGAAUAUAAUAGCAUGGGAUAACACGACAGGACUCUGGCCUAUCGUGUUGGUCUAUAGGACCAGAGUAAUGAUUAAGAGGGACAGUCGGGGGCAUUCGUAUUCCGUUGUCAGAGGUGAAAUUCUUGGAUUUACGUAAGACGAACAUCUGCGAAAGCAUUUGCCAAGGAUGUUUUCAUUGA
Molecule: ribosomal RNA, 378 nt
Filed under: uncultured eukaryote
Lineage: Eukaryota
Description: partial 18S ribosomal RNA
Rfam family: Eukaryotic small subunit ribosomal RNA
Source: RNAcentral